RNAcentral lists this long non-coding RNA (2868 nucleotides) under Mytilus galloprovincialis (Mediterranean mussel). Lineage: Eukaryota; Metazoa; Mollusca; Bivalvia; Mytilida; Mytilidae. The record is from RNAcentral.
CCAUUGUGCAUUUCAAAGGUAUGUAUCUACAGGUUGAACAUUGUAAUAAAACUUAUUGAUGCUUCUAGUGCAAUAUUUGUUCUUAUCUAUUGGGUAAUGCUACAGUAAUUUUGGCACAUUGAUAUUAUUUUACUUAACAAGAUAGCAUUGUUAAUUUUAUCCCAGGGAAACAUUAUAUUCUGAUUGCUAACCAAAGUACUUUUAUAACACAGUUAUUUUAAGUAAGGAAGAUACUGAAAGCUGAUAAUGCCAUUCCUGAUGGAUUUUAUUUAUUUAAUAUUACAUGUUUUUUGUUUUCUUUGGGAGAAACUAUCCAUGUAAGUUUUAUAGGUCUUUUAAAAAUUAAAUGGCUAUUCCUUAAUCAGUCCUACAUAUGUAUAUUGAGGAGAGCUUUCCAUAAUUUAUAUAGAUUGGAAAAAAAUGAAAAUUAACUGUUUCAAGUAACGACCUAAUUAUUCUGCAGCAGUGCUAAAGCUUAACAAUAUUUGUAGAUAAGGUGCAGUUAACUCAAAUAUUUAUUUCAGCAAUUGCCAUUUAGCAAAAGUGAAUAUGACAUACUAUUAUUUUAAUUCUAGAUGCAAUUUUGAAAAAGGUCCUCUAAUCUUUUUAACAAUUUUAUCAAACAGUACCAAUGUUUUUUAAUUUUUUAGGACAAUUUGUUUAGUGCCAUGUGAAAAAUAUAUCUGCUGAAUAAUACAAAAAACUGUUCUUGCACUUACAGAUGUCAAAAUAAUACCUAUUCCUGUUAAAUUUGUCAUGAUUUAGAAUUUAUUUUACGUCAUCAAUGCUGGAAUGCAUAUUGCAGUGCUAGGAAGGGCAGUUGCGAACAUCAAAGUAAUAACACCAAAUUCAAAGUUCAUAUUUUUCAUGAACUCAUUUCCUUGAAGUGUUAUUUGAUGGUAUAUGUUCAAGAAUGCCUGUUAAAGGUCGACUGACAUUCCUUUGUGUUGUUUGUAUGUCCUGCUUUUUUGCUAAAACCUUAUCUGAAGAAAGGCUUAUAAGGUUCCUAUAUACUAUCCUAAGGAGUCGGUCAUACAUUAAUAGAUUCUGCAGUUUUAAUAUGUAUUUUUAUUAUCAAUUUUAACUUGGAAGUCACAAAAAAUAUCUGUAAAGACCCUUCACAGAUUCAAGAUCAGGGACACAAACAACUUUUUAAAGUAUAGACCUUUGUUUAAAAUUAAAAGUAUUUCUUUUAUGCAAUUGCAUAUAUUGACUCUUAGUGCUUGGUUAAUAUCAGAUUGGUUUUUCAUUGGGAUCAAAAUAUUGUCUGAACAUACAAUUCACAAUCAUUUCAUUUAUUAUACAAAAUGUGGAAAUACAUUAGCGGUUAUCAGCAUAUAAAUUUAGAAUCCAUUAUAGGAAAUCAAUUAUUCCUGAUUUCUAUUCAGUUGAAAUGAAAGGUCAACAUUAUUCUAAUUUUAGUUGUUAUAUGUAUUGUUUUGAAGAACUUAUCAAAUUGUAGUCUCUUCAUUUAAAGAACACAAACCUUAAGUAAGUAAAAACAUAAAUUUGCCAUAUAGCUGCACACUAGAUAUCUUAGAAUGUAGAUAAUUAGGCUAUAGCAUACAAUGUUAAUUUUUAUUUUGGCUUCAAUAAGUGUGCUAUGCAAAAGAUUGUAGUUAAAUAACUAUCCCACCUUAAACUUGUUUGUCAUAAUAAAUGUAAAUAGAAUUGAAAUUGUACAUAUUUAAUUAUAUUUAUUUGUUAUAUAAGGUUUAUUUCUAUCUUUGACAACUUUAUUUAUACAUAAAAGUAUAUUUUUGUUAUUUUAAUCAGCUAAUUGCUUUCAUAUAUAUGUUUAAAAGCUUUAACCAGAGCUUAUGGAUUCCAUGCAGACACAUGUGUAUGUGUAUGUUAGUAGAGAUUUAUUGUAGGUAAAUAAUAGCGUAAGAUCAAUUCCACUGUUAUAACAAGAGACCAUUCCCAUGGAUUGUCUUCCCUUAAUUUCUGAUUCACCAUCUGUUAGUCUUGUGUUAGUUUUGAGUUGUUACACAAUUAGUUAAGUCUGUAGAGAAGUUUGUAGUUUAAAUGAAGGAAGAACUUCUCAUUUAGUAAAAAAAAUUAUGAUCUGAAAAUACCUUUUUCACCUGAUCUAUUAAUUAUUCAUGCUACUAGGUUCAAGCUCUUCAGGGAUUUUUAAUAGUGAAGUAUUUGAUUACUGAAAAUUUGAUAUAAUGAAAAAUACCAAACUUUAAGGUGAAUUUCAAAUGGAAAGCCCCAACUAACUUCAAAGGUACUGUUUAUUUCCCAAUUAAUUAGUGGCAAAAAUAGUUUAGCCAUGUUUAUAACUCAUUUAUCUUUCAUUAAUCCCAAAUAUGAACACCUAACAUUUUCAUACUGUUCUAUAGUAAUAUACAAAUAUACUAAGGAAUAAGGAUCUUACCUCCUCUCAUUCUUGCAAUUCUUUAAGGCAUUUAGGUGUAUCUAAAGUAAUUUGUAUUUUACACACAAGUUUACUACUUUUAAUUGUUAAUGUUGGCAUAUUUGUAUUGUGUAUAAUUUCACUGAUGAAUUUGGUGUAUCUAUUGUAUGAUAACUAUGUAUUUAAUGAUAAUUUGGUGUUGCUUAAUUUGCUGUUAUAACAUUGGCUCUUUAAAUUAUAUUAAUUUAAGUAUCACCAUAAGAAUACGCUUUAAUUUCUGUUUGUUAUUAUUUUUUAUUGAUAUGGCAUUAAUUUCAAAUUAAAUGGUAUGGUUGUAAAUAACAUUAUAUCAUAGUCAGUAAUUUGAAAGUUGUGCAUGAGUGUUGAACAUUUUGUAACUCAUUUCCAAGUGGGGAACCUUUAAUAAAAAGGAAGACCAAAUAUUUCUUGUUAUUACCAGUAAUCUGAUAGAAAUGCAUUUACACAAGGAUCUGUGUUGAAGGCCG